Molecule: ribosomal RNA, 438 nt
Filed under: uncultured bacterium
Lineage: Bacteria
Description: bacterial SSU rRNA
Rfam family: Bacterial small subunit ribosomal RNA
Source: RNAcentral
GACGAACGCUGGCGGCGUGCCUAACACAUGCAAGUCGAGCGGAGACAGUGAGUAGCUUGCUAUGAGCUGUUUUAGCGGCGGACGGGUGAGUAACGCGUGAGCAACCUUUCCCAGACAGGGGAAUAACACACCGAAAGGUGUACUAAUACCGCAUAAGACCACGGGAUCACAUGGUUUUGAGGUAAAAGAUUUAUCGGUUUGGGGUGGGCUCGCGUCCGAUUAGGUAGUUGGUGAGGUAACGGCCCACCAAGCCGACGAUCGGUAGCCGACCUGAGAGGGUGAUCGGCCACAUUGGGACUGAGACACGGCCCAAACUCCUACGGGAGGCAGCAGUGGGGAAUAUUGGGCAAUGGAGGAAACUCUGACCCAGCAACGCCGCGUGGAGGAAGAAGGUUUUCGGAUCGUAAACUCCUGUCCUUGGAGACGAGUAGAAGACGG